GAGGGUGUAGCUCAGUGGUGGAGUGCCUGCUUAGCAUGCAUGAGGUCCUGGGUUCAAUUCCCAGUACCUCCA
Molecule: transfer RNA, 72 nt
Filed under: Camelus bactrianus (Bactrian camel)
Lineage: Eukaryota; Metazoa; Chordata; Mammalia; Artiodactyla; Camelidae
Also listed under: 2 other names
Rfam family: tRNA
About the family: Transfer RNA (tRNA) molecules are approximately 80 nucleotides in length. Their secondary structure includes four short double-helical elements and three loops (D, anti-codon, and T loops).
Source: Rfam by way of RNAcentral